UAAUACGGAGGAUCCGAGCGUUAUCCGGAUUUAUUGGGUUUAAAGGGUGCGUAGGCGGGAGAUUAAGUCAGUGGUGAAAGUUUGCAGCUCAACUGUAAAAUUGCCAUUGAAACUGAUUUUCUUGAGUGUAAAUAAGGUAGGCGGAAUGUGUUGUGUAGCGGUGAAAUGCAUAGAUAUAACACAGAACCCCGAUUGCGAAGGCAGCUUACCGGGCUACAACUGACGCUGAGGCACGAAAGCGUGGGGAUCAAACAGGAUUAGAUACCCUGGUAGUCCACGCAGUAAACGAUGAAUACUAACUGUUUGCGAUAUACAGUAAGCGGUACAGCGAAAGCGUUAAGUAUUCCACCUGGGGAGUACGUUCGCAAGAAUGAAACUCAAAGGAAUUGACGG
RNAcentral lists this ribosomal RNA (393 nucleotides) under uncultured bacterium. RNAcentral's name for it is "bacterial SSU rRNA". It matches the Rfam family "Bacterial small subunit ribosomal RNA", at positions 521 to 916 of the family's 1533-position model. The record is from RNAcentral.